GAUGAACGCUGGCGGCGUGCCUAAUACAUGCAAGUCGAGCGAACAGACGAGGAGCUUGCUCCUCUGACGUUAGCGGCGGACGGGUGAGUAACACGUGGAUAACCUACCUAUAAGACUGGGAUAACUUCGGGAAACCGGAGCUAAUACCGGAUAAUAUAUUGAACCGCAUGGUUCAAUAGUGAAAGACGGUUUUGCUGUCACUUAUAGAUGGAUCCGCGCCGCAUUAGCUAGUUGGUAAGGUAACGGCUUACCAAGGCAACGAUGCGUAGCCGACCUGAGAGGGUGAUCGGCCACACUGGAACUGAGACACGGUCCAGACUCCGACGGGAGGCAGCAGUAGGGAAUCUUCCGCAAUGGGCGAAAGCCUGACGGAGCAACGCCGCGUGAGUGAGGAAGGUCUUCGGAUCGUAAAACUCUGUUAUUAGGGAAGAACAAAUGUGUAAGUAACUAUGCAAGUCUUGACGGUACCUAAUCAGAAAGCCACGGCUAACUACGU
This 496-nucleotide ribosomal RNA is filed under the name uncultured bacterium. RNAcentral describes it as "partial 16S ribosomal RNA". It matches the Rfam family "Bacterial small subunit ribosomal RNA", at positions 28 to 506 of the family's 1533-position model. The record is from RNAcentral.